CUCUCUCUCUCCUUUUGAAGAAAAUCUCUCAUUUGGGUAUCUUUCCAAUCUCGUUUUCAGUUAGGUUUUUCUAAAUCAUAACUCAAUGGAAAUCAUUUGAAUAAAAAAGAUGAAAGAAAGUUGGAUGACUAGAUAUGAAGGGGAGGAGGGGUUUCAGAUCCGUCGAUCUGAAGAAGGUUUUCAGACUUCGCUGGUGCAAAUCCAUUCUUGUCUAAGGAGGAGAUCGAAGACAUGAGCUCACGACUGAAGACUAUCGUCGGAGAGAUAAGGUAGAGAAGCGGAUUUCGAUUUAGGGUUUUGUCCUCCGUCGAUUCGCCUUCAGAUCACCGUGUGUGUGUGUUCAGAUGAAUAACCCAAGAACCCACGAACUCGAUUUGAUUUCGUCUUCAUGAUUUCGUCUUCUGAUUUUGUUUUCUUCUUUCUCCCUUAUUCGAUAUGCCCUCUAUUUCAUCUUCUGAUACCGUGGUACUCGAGGGUGUGGUUGGGGUGGGUUUUUUGGUGACAGUGAAAAUCGAGCCACAGAUGGUGAAGAUGAACUGAGAAGAGGGUGGUGUUGUAAACCGAUCCUAACAGUGAUGAAAAUAGAUGGAGAAGACUAACCCUAGAUAUGAUUUCUCAUUCUCUUUUCUCCAUCUCCAUUAAGAAUUGACGUGUUCAACAAUUUGUUCUAGGUGUUUUUUUGUUCAUCUACAGAAAGAGAAAGAAGAAGAUGGGUAUUUGGAGAGAGAGAGAGAGAUUUAUUUAUAUUUUUAUUGUUUAUUUUUUAUUUUUUUAAAUCUGAAAAUCAAGAAAAACAAUUAAGAAAAAAAAAAUCA
Molecule: non-coding RNA, 815 nt
Organism: Lactuca sativa (garden lettuce)
Lineage: Eukaryota; Viridiplantae; Streptophyta; Magnoliopsida; Asterales; Asteraceae
Source: RefSeq, a predicted model, not a curated record